UGGAUCGGCUUCGGCGUAACAGAAUUUAUCUCUUGCCUUUUACCAGAGAUAACCAUGCGCUCGAGCACCAGCGAUCCUUAUAUAAUCUUUGGAAACCUAGUCGCAGAGAAG
This 111-nucleotide small nuclear RNA is filed under the name Tuber melanosporum Mel28. RNAcentral's name for it is "U5 spliceosomal RNA". It matches the Rfam family "U5 spliceosomal RNA". Rfam says of the family: U5 RNA is a component of both types of known spliceosome. The precise function of this molecule is unknown, though it is known that the 5' loop is required for splice site selection and p220 binding, and that both the 3' stem-loop and the Sm site are important for Sm protein binding and cap methylation. The record is from RNAcentral. Lineage: Eukaryota; Fungi; Ascomycota; Pezizomycetes; Pezizales; Tuberaceae.